AUUGAACGCUGGCGGCAUGCCUUACACAUGCAAGUCGAACGGCAGCACGGGUGCUUGCACCUGGUGGCGAGUGGCGAACGGGUGAGUAAUACAUCGGAACAUGUCCUGUAGUGGGGGAUAGCCCGGCGAAAGCCGGAUUAAUACCGCAUACGAUCUACGGAUGAAAGCGGGGGACCUUCGGGCCUCGCGCUAUAGGGUUGGCCGAUAGCUGAUUAGCUAGUUGGUGGGGUAAAGGCCUACCAAGGCGACGAUCAGUAGCUGGUCUGAGAGGACGACCAGCCACACUGGGACUGAGACACGGCCCAGACUCCUACGGGAGGCAGCAGUGGGGAAUUUUGGACAAUGGGCGAAAGCCUGAUCCAGCAAUGCCGCGUGUGUGGAGAAGGCCUUCGGGUUGUAAAGCACUUUUGUCCGGAAAGAAAUCCUUGGCUCUAAUACAGUCGGGGGAUGACGGUACCGGAAGAAUAAGCACCGGCUAACUACGUG
Molecule: ribosomal RNA, 486 nt
Filed under: uncultured bacterium
Lineage: Bacteria
Description: partial 16S ribosomal RNA
Rfam family: Bacterial small subunit ribosomal RNA
Source: RNAcentral